UACGUAGGGGGCAAGCGUUGCCCGGAUUUACUGGGCGUAAAGAGCGUGUAGGCGGCCAAGCAGGUCCGUUGUGAAAACUGGAGGCUUAACCUUCAGACGUCGACGGAAACCGCGCGGCUAGAGUCCUGAAGAGGAGAGUGGAAUUCCUGGUGUAGCGGUGAAAUGCGCAGAUAUCAGGAAGAACACCAAUGGCGAAGGCAGCUCUCUGGGACGGUACUGACGCUGAGACGCGAAAGCGUGGGGAGCGAACAGG
Molecule: ribosomal RNA, 253 nt
Filed under: uncultured bacterium
Lineage: Bacteria
Description: partial 16S ribosomal RNA
Rfam family: Bacterial small subunit ribosomal RNA
Source: RNAcentral